GAACUAAAUCAAUGCAACCUCCGCAGAAUCUGAUUCAUAGAUUCUUGAUAUGUACAUGGUACAUACAAUUAAACAAAGUAAAAUAUAAUAAUUAAAUAUGCUACAAUAAUCUUUAGAGUGGAUCAAUCCUUCAUUGUUUAGAAGAAAUCUAAUUCUAUGACAAAAGGCUAGAGAGCCCACCUAGUAUAAGCAUCAUUGUAGUUAUUUUAAAAAUUGAUGGAGUUCCAAAAUGAAGCUUUUUUGCCACUUUUAAUCAUAUAAACAAGAAUUAUUUUUAGCA
Molecule: long non-coding RNA, 280 nt
Filed under: Elaeis guineensis (African oil palm)
Lineage: Eukaryota; Viridiplantae; Streptophyta; Magnoliopsida; Arecales; Arecaceae
Description: long non-coding RNA (EGUI_LNC069332)
Source: RNAcentral